Molecule: ribosomal RNA, 161 nt
Filed under: Amanita concentrica
Lineage: Eukaryota; Fungi; Basidiomycota; Agaricomycetes; Agaricales; Amanitaceae
Also listed under: 6 other names
Description: 5.8S ribosomal RNA
Rfam family: 5.8S ribosomal RNA
About the family: 5.8S ribosomal RNA (5.8S rRNA) is a component of the large subunit of the eukaryotic ribosome. It is transcribed by RNA polymerase I as part of the 45S precursor that also contains 18S and 28S rRNA.
Source: RNAcentral
ACAACUUUCAACAACGGAUCUCUUGGCUCUCGCAUCGAUGAAGAACGCAGCGAAAUGCGAUAAGUAAUGUGAAUUGCAGAAUUCAGUGAAUCAUCGAAUCUUUGAACGCAUCUUGCGCUCCUUGGUAUUCUGAGGAGCAUGCCUGUUUGAGUGUCAUUAAA